GGGGGUAUAACUCAGUGGUAGAGCAUUCGACUGCAGAUCGAGAUGACUUCGGUUCAAACCCGGGUGUCCCCU
This is a non-coding RNA of Trichonephila inaurata madagascariensis, 72 nucleotides long. NCBI's taxonomy places the organism in Eukaryota, Metazoa, Arthropoda, Arachnida, Araneae, Nephilidae. The record is from the annotation of a GenBank genome assembly.